RNAcentral lists this ribosomal RNA (497 nucleotides) under uncultured bacterium. RNAcentral's name for it is "partial 16S ribosomal RNA". It matches the Rfam family "Bacterial small subunit ribosomal RNA", at positions 28 to 507 of the family's 1533-position model. The record is from RNAcentral.
GAUGAACGCUGGCGGCGUGCCUAAUACAUGCAAGUCGAGCGAACAGACGAGGAGCUUGCUCCUCUGACGUUAGCGGCGGACGGGUGAGUAACACGUGGAUAACCUACCUAUAAGACUGGGAUAACUUCGGGAAACCGGAGCUAAUACCGGAUAAUAUAUUGAACCGCAUGGUUCAAUAGUGAAAGACGGUUUUGCUGUCACUUUUAGAUGGAUCCGCGCCGCAUUAGCUAGUUGGUAAGGUAACGGCUUACCAAGGCAACGAUGCGUAGCCGACCUGAGAGGGUGAUCGGCCACACUGGAACUGAGACACGGUCCAGACUCCUACGGGAGGCAGCAGUAGGGAAUAUUCCGCAAUGGGCGAAAGCCUGACGGAGCAACGCCGCGUGAGUGAUGAAGGUCUUCGGAUCGUAAAACUCUGUUAUUAGGGAAGAACAAAUGUGUAAGUAACUAUGCACGUCUUGACGGUACCUAAUCAGAAAGCCACGGCUAACUACGUG